Molecule: ribosomal RNA, 495 nt
Filed under: uncultured bacterium
Lineage: Bacteria
Description: partial 16S ribosomal RNA
Rfam family: Bacterial small subunit ribosomal RNA
Source: RNAcentral
GACGAACGCUGGCGGCGUGCCUAAUACAUGCAAGUAGAACGCUGAAGGAGGAGCUUGCUCUUCUGGAUGAGUUGCGAACGGGUGAGUAACGCGUAGGUAACCUGCCUGGUAGCGGGGGAUAACUAUUGGAAACGAUAGCUAAUACCGCAUAAUAGUAGAUGUUGCAUGAUAUUUACUUAAAAGGUGCAAUUGCACCACCACCAGAUGGACCUGCGUUGUAUUAGCUAGUUGGUGGGGUAACGGCUCACCAAGGCGACGAUACAUAGCCGACCUGAGAGGGUGAUCGGCCACACUGGGACUGAGACACGGCCCAGACUCCUACGGGAGGCAGCAGUAGGGAAUCUUCGGCAAUGGACGAAAGUCUGACCGAGCAACGCCGCGUGAGUGAAGAAGGUUUUCGGAUCGUAAAGCUCUGUUGUAAGAGAAGAACGAGUGUGAGAGUGGAAAGUUCACACUGUGACGGUAUCUUACCAGAAAGGGACGGCUAACUACGUG